This is a long non-coding RNA of Limulus polyphemus (Atlantic horseshoe crab), 249 nucleotides long. RefSeq lists it as uncharacterized. NCBI's taxonomy places the organism in Eukaryota, Metazoa, Arthropoda, Merostomata, Xiphosura, Limulidae. The transcript is spliced from 3 exons. The record is from RefSeq and is a predicted model, not a curated record.
GGCCAGGGAAAAGGAGAGACUAAGAGAGGAAGCAAGAAAGCAAAGGCGUUUAGAGAGUGGAUUCCGAAGCAUGCUCAAGAAUGCUGUUCCUCCAGUAGACAGCAGUUCAGAAUGGGAAAAGGUUCGGAAACAAUUUGAGAAAGAACACGCUUUUGAAAACAUAACCUUGGAAUCUGAAAGAAUAAGACUCUUCAAGGAAUACCAACAAAUCUUAGAGGUGAGUGCUCUUAGUAACCAGCAAAUCUAAGA